CUUGUACACACCGCCCGUCACACCAUGGGAGCGGGUUCUGCCGAGAAGUAGUUAGCCUAACCGCAAGGAGGGCGAUUACCACGGCAGGGUUCGUGACUGGGGUG
Molecule: ribosomal RNA, 104 nt
Filed under: uncultured bacterium
Lineage: Bacteria
Description: partial 16S ribosomal RNA
Rfam family: Bacterial small subunit ribosomal RNA
Source: RNAcentral